AAAGGACAACACAGCAGAGUCAGCUUCCUGACCCAAUGGGACCUUGGGAGGGGGGUAUAAAGGAAGGUGUAAUUUCCUUAAUAAACAACUAUGCAGCACGCUCUGUUACUCACUGACUCCCUGUGUCUGAGUACUGAGGCAUUGGUGCUGCAUCUUCUCACCCACUCCCCCAAGGGGUGUCUGAGCAGGAUCACCGGCAACACUGACACAACAUAAUAAGUCAAGGACCCUCCAAAGUUCCUGCCUCUGGGUUCCUGCUUUGAGUUUCUGCCCUGACCUCCCUCAAUAAUGAACUCUAAUAAGGAAAAGAGAAUAAACCCUUUACUCCUCAAGUUUUCAUGGUAACAAUCAAACUAGAAAGCAGGACAAACAUCAUCACAAAACUGAGAGUUCAGAUCCCCAAGGAAAGCCAAGGAGUAACAAAAAUGGAAAAAUGGAAAAUUUCAGUGUACAUGAUGAUUUGCAAGCAUCUGGCACAACACGCAGAUGACCUAAAGGCCACACAUUUUGAAGAGUAGGCCAGACACAGAAAGAGAACUACUACCCAACCUGGUAAAAUCUUAUCCUUCUCAAGAAUUCUGAUGCUUUUGAUGACUGUUAGUCUUGCCAGCUCAAAGCAAAACAGAUUUCAGGAACAGGUGUUUUAGGGUUUAUCUAUGUGAAGAUAGGAAAGUGUAAAGUAUAUGAAGGUCUGGGAAUGUAGUUACAAAGGUCUGAGGAUGGAAAGUCCUAACACGGUGGAUAAAUGCAAGUUAUGAAGGUCUGAGAAUGGAAGGUAUAAAGGUCUGAGAAUGGAAGGUCGAAGAUGGUAAUGUAAGGUACAUGAA
Molecule: long non-coding RNA, 827 nt
Filed under: Cricetulus griseus (Chinese hamster)
Lineage: Eukaryota; Metazoa; Chordata; Mammalia; Rodentia; Cricetidae
Description: lncRNA (ENSCGRG00015035439.1)
Source: RNAcentral